ACGCGUCGACGGGCGACGGCCGGCCGAGCCCCAGGUCUCCUCCACCGAGCAAAAACCUCGCCUUUUUGCAUGUACUCUCCGUCCUCUUCCCUCCCAUCCCAUGGAGUAGAAGAAACCGAGAGAGCAGCCCCAGAUCGCCGUCGACCACACCCUUCCCGCCGUCGGCCGCAAAGAUGACGGCGGUCUCCAUGUCUUAUGCGUUCCGUCAUCCCACUUCCAUGCCGAUUCCAUUCCUUUUAACCGCGGUCCAAUUUGUGCAGCCAAUCGCUGGGAACACCGCCGCGCUCUCGGUCGUCCUGGAGCACGCUCUGAGAGCCGCCGCCAAGACAUCAUGUCCGUCGCCGUCGAUCUGGAGCAAGCCGGGGCGAGCCACCGCGCCAUAGGCUUCCCCUAGAGGUCCUCUCCAAAAACCCUCCAUAUUCCUGAAGAUUCGUGCACCGAGUAGAGGGAUCGAGCUUUUCUUCUCCAACUCCGGCCUAUGACCACCGUCUCCAAAUUCGUCCACUCUGAUUGAUGGCUGGAUCGAGCAUUUUCCGGAGUCCGAAGCCGCUGCCGCCGUCAUCCAAGCUUCGCUGGGCCACGCGGGACAUCGAAUGAGUCUCCAAGACCCCUGUAAACACACAUUCAUGUGCCCUUUUAGCCAUAAACGAGCUCUAGCUCCACAUGCACCAUCACCCGAGUGUUGCCGCCGCUCGCGCCGCCACUGCUAUCAAAUCCGGUCACCAUAGCCCGUGAUUGGAUCAUCUUCGAGUUCGCAGAGGACCCCUAUACAUUUCUUCUUUUGGUCGCGUAGCUCGAAUCCCCACCGUUCGCCGCCGCCGAGACCAGGCAUGGCCGUCGGCCAUGCUGCCCUGCUCUGGGAGGAACACAGGGACUUUCUCUGGAAAUUAGAUAAAAUCUAGGAUCCUAUCUGUAAAUAUCCCACACCAUUGAACAGUCACAGGACUGCGUGUUGGUUUCCAUAAAAACUAGGGUUCUUCAUGCAAAGUCGCCAGUUUGAAAUCUUUUAAAUAAAAUGGAAAUAUUAACAAGUUUUCCUAUUGAAUUAGAAAAUAUGUUAAAUUGUAAAAUCCGUAUAAAAUCAAAUAUAAAUUGUUUUGAGAUGAACCAAAUUUCUGUAGGUUCAGCAAGAUGUGGACUUUAAUUUAGUAAGAUAAAAUUUUGCACCUCCUGUACGGCUGUACCUGAAACAUCACUAAAAAUAUGAAUAGCAAAAUAAUCAACACACACAUAAUCCAACUUCUAAAAUUCAUAGGAAACUCAUCUUAGCUCAAAAUAGAGUGAACCAAGUCCUGCUAGAUUCACAGAAGCGUAUUGUUUCACGUUUUAAAAUAAAAUAUGGAACCUUUAAUAUAAAGAUCAUCUCUAAACUUUAACAUUGUAGAGUAAGUACUACUAAAUUACAAACUAUAAGUCAUAAAUUUCAUAUAAUAUAUUCUAGCUCCAAAUAAUUUAAAAUUAAAUUACUCCAGUUAUCAAGAAUCUAAAACACUUUUGUUUAUAUAACGCCUCUCAAUUUGGUGUAACAAAUAGUCAACAUAAAACACAUCAAAACUUUGUGAAAUAGGUGAAAAGUUCAUAGCCUAGAGUAGUUGAUAGAGCCGAGAUUGAAGUGAGGGCUGUUGGAGACCUCACACAUAGACUCCCUAGCGGCUGUAAUUUAAUUUUAAAUAAUGUCUUAUUUGCUCCAUCUAUUAAGAGAAAUCUUAUUUCGGUUAAGAGUCUUAGUAGAGACAGGUUAUGACUGUCAUUUUACAAAAGGAACAUGUUUAAGUUUAAUAAUAAAGUUGUGGGUCUUGCCUUCGUGCGAGACAAACUCUAUUUGCUCUCUUUGGAUGAUUUUGUGAUGAAUGUUAUAAAUGCAUAUAAUGAUAAAGCUGAGAUGUCAUCAAAAUUAUGGCACUAUCGUUUGGGCCACAUUUCUAGAGAAAGAAUUGAAUGUCUCAUUAAAGAAUAAAUACUCCUUCCUUCAGAUUUUUCUGAAGUAGAUCAUUACGUAGAUUGCAUUAAGGGAAAUUUCACUAAGACAAUUAAGAAAGGGGCCACUAGAAAUAAUUCAGAUCAAUAUUUGUGGACUGUUCCCAAUGACAUUUCUGGAUGGCUUUGACUCAUUCAUUACAUUCACAAAUGAUUAUUCCCGUUUUGGCUAUAUUUAUCCCAUUAAUGGUUGUUCUAAAUCUCUUGAGAAAUUUAAGGCCAAAGUGGAAAAUCAGCAUAAUGCUAAACUUAAACUCGUGAGAUCAAAUCGUGGUGAUGAAUACUAGGGAAGCUUGCUCCACUUGGGCAAAUUUCUAGUCCAUUUGCCUUAUAUCUCCAGCAAUAUGGGAUUGUUACCCAUGCCUAAUGAACCUCAGUAGAACGGAGUAGCAGAACGACGCAACUAGGGCUGGACGAAAAGCUCGAGGCUUGUGACCAGCUCGGCUCAUUAUGUUUUGAAACGAGCCGAGACGUCGUUUCAGCUCGUUAGGCAUAACGAGCCAGUUCAAGCGGGUUUACGAGCUGCUUGCAAGUCUUAACGAGCUUACACAGAGAUAAAUUCGUAGGACAACCAUGGCCGAUAGAGAAAGUCCCAUGAUGGCCCAAGUACAUUAGUCACCAUGCAUCGUCAAUAGAAAAAUCAAUCGAGAGAAAUCUAUACUAAUAUAAAAAGGAGAAGUUGCCCCCCUCCAAUCGUACUGGUGAAAUCAUUCGGAGUAAUCUCUGCCGUCCAUCCGCGCGCACGAUCUCACCACCACACGAUUGAGUACUGCCGCGAAUACUACUCUCCAUCCCCGCGUAGACUUCGCUCCUCCUCCUCGCGCAGACUUCGUUGCUCCUCGCUCGUUUGAUCCAUCCAUCCACGCCGAAUACUUCACUCCUCUUCCUCUACCCGCGAAGACAUCGCUCCACGGGUGAAGACUUCAUCCUCCCCGCGUGGACUGCCGCCGCCGGAGCCUCUGAUUCUUCGCCGCCGCCGGAGCCGGUGCUUCUUCCCCGCGUGGACUGCCGCUGCAUCCCCGCCGCCGGAGCCGCUGCUUCUUCCCCGCCGCCAGAGCCGCCGUGUCCGGUUCCGACCUCGGCCCCAUCCGCCGCCGCCGCUGCCGAGGUCCGCCGCCGCGGCCGGAGCGGACUUUCCGUCGCCACCAGCUCCGACGUUGUCCUCCACCGCGGCUUCUCCCAGUACAGCACCUCCAACUUUACCCGCCACGACCACAACGACCCUUGAUGCUCUGUUCAUCAGACGGAUUCUGCAAUCUCAUGCAGAGAAGAUCAAGGAGGUUGUUCCAGACGCUAUUAAAUCAGUCACCAAUUCACAUAUUCACAAAGCUUAUUUUAUAUGGGUACAUACUCUCUAGCAUUAUUCAGCAAACUAUCUUUUGGUUGAACAAAGACUAUUGAUGAGGCUCUUCAAGACCUGGAUGAUUGCCUAACAAUUGUGAUUUUGUUUACAACUACUAGGAGAUGAUUGUGUGUGAAUUGAGAAUCCUUCAUUGUCAUCUGUUCAGCGCUAUAAACUCCCCUAUAAAACUUACCAUGAGACAGAACUAUAUCUUGAUUCCAUAUCUCUUUUUUGCUUUUGUGGUAUGUUUAAUUACCCUAUAAAACUCUAGCCAUUUUACCCAAUUCAGUUUAAUUAACAAAGCUUUCAAGAAUUAAUCAUGAGUUGAACUCUCAACUGUUCGCAAUGCUAGCACAGGUGCAGUAAUGUCAGAUGACAAUGAAGAUUUGACUCGGUAAUGGAGGCAGAUGCGGUUCUUUUCCCUUCCCGUACCUAAUUGAUAUGCUUUCUAUGUAAUCUUGCAAUUGCCUCAGAUUUUGAAUAUAUCUAAUCUUGUUUUCUUCCCUAGGCUCCCCGGUUAUCUUAUUGGUUUGUUGUUUGCUUGUUAGGACUGAGUUGAUGACAAAUUGAACUGAAGAAGAAUUUGUGGGCGAAAAGGUGCUAUUGGUACUGUUAUUAAGUGUUUUCAGUCCUUUUUCACCGAUCGAAUUAUAUUCUUCUUGUGAGCAUUCAUUUAUCCAAUUGUCAAGAUAUCAACCAGGCUCCAGUUGUUUUUAUCACUGCUCCAAUCUUUUUUCAUUUUAAAAGGAUUUGACUAAGCGUUCUUACUGAUGAUGAUGAUGUGCGGCAUCACGAACCUGAGGCGCAUGCCAGUGACCGUGGAGCAGGAGGGGACGAUCUGUGCCGCGGAUGUGGGCGUGGAGGGCAUCACGCUCCUGGUAAAGAUUACCUUGCUCCUUGCGAUAAAUCAAUCUUCAAUGGUAUUAUAUUUCUUUUCUACUCUUCCGUCAAUAAAAACGAGGCCACAUGUUUGCUGGAGCUGUAUAGGUGCAGGUGCUCAUACUUCAUACUGGCACAAGGGGCACACUGCAGAGAAAAAAGAAACAGAUUUCAAUAUCAAUUGGCAUGUGAAACAGAUUUUAGUAUUUAUGAAAAUAAGAGUAUUUUCUCCCAUCGAUAUACAUGACAUGUGCCUUGCAUGCGCACACUAACUAUUGAUAUGUUCUCUUUCUCUUGACUAUGCAGAUGAUCAGUUUCAUUGCCAAAUGGGAAGCAAAUAUGUGAGCAUGAGAGUUAAUGUGCCUUUACAGGUUUGCUGGUCUGAUUGUAGAUGAUAUGACUUGUUAUUUGUAUUAUCGAAUAUGUACUAUUUUUCUCGGCUGAAUCUUGUGACCUUUCCUUUAUUCAUGUAUUAGGAAUUUGUUUUGGAUGACUGAUUCGGCAGGACUGAUUCCAUUGUGGAUUUGUUGAGGUGCUUCCGAUGUGGUCCAAUUAUUGUUAUUUCCUGGGGCUAUCAAGUUCUAACAGAAUUAAGCACCACACUUGGGUAUCUAUAUCUUUCUUAUGUUAUCCUCAAUUAUUUCUAACACCACUUUGUACCUUCAUCUUUUCUGUUUUGUUCCUCAUAUGCACUAAUUUUUAUUUAGUAUGGAAAAUUGGGGCCACAAUAAUAUUUUAAGCAAUGCUUCGCAAGCAGUUCAAUAACAUGGCAGUGCCUUAGUUGUCUGCACUAAUUGUAUGGAAGUCAAUUUGGUUGUCAAAGAUCAUGGCUACACAAGGACCCUGCUGCUGCCAAAUGCUACACAUUUGUCUAUACUGUAAUUCAGUACUAUGAUAAAAUGGUGCCGUUCUCUGCAGUGUUCACCAUCAUGGGUGCUUCUUGUUAUUGUAUUAACUGAACAUAUAAUCAUUCCAUUUAUCUGUUAUCUGUUAAAUCUAUAAGACAUAUCACGAAAUGGUUGCGUUCUCUUGGAUUGGAUUUUGAUUCAAUUAUCAAGCUUUGUA
Oryza sativa Japonica Group (Japanese rice) is the source of this 5263-nucleotide non-coding RNA. NCBI's taxonomy places the organism in Eukaryota, Viridiplantae, Streptophyta, Magnoliopsida, Poales, Poaceae. The record is from RefSeq and is a predicted model, not a curated record.